GGGAUUUCAACAUAAUAAUGGCUUGUGUUUUGUGAGUGGAAAAUGAGGUCAUUAGGCUAGAGAUUGUAGUUUAAAAAGGAGCCGGCAAAAGGCAAUUUAUCAACCUCCAACUAGCAAGAGAAGUACGAUAGUAAGAAUGGGGUGCUGAGGAAAUGACAACAAUAAUCGAGCAAACUUGAGGAAAGAAGUUAAACUCAAGUGUGAAGGAUGAAUCAGUGUUAAUGGUAGUCCUGCCUGAGCAAAUAAAUUGCGAAGAUGAUUGGAUUAAUGACUCAGGAGAAGAUGAUUUGAUUGAUGACUCAAAAGAGGAUAUCGUGGUUCAUGAAGAGUCU
RNAcentral lists this long non-coding RNA (332 nucleotides) under Olea europaea (common olive). RNAcentral's name for it is "long non-coding RNA (OEUR_LNC001668)". The record is from RNAcentral. Lineage: Eukaryota; Viridiplantae; Streptophyta; Magnoliopsida; Lamiales; Oleaceae.